This 2999-nucleotide ribosomal RNA is filed under the name microbial mat metagenome. RNAcentral's name for it is "bacterial LSU rRNA". It matches the Rfam family "Bacterial large subunit ribosomal RNA", at positions 1 to 2139 of the family's 2925-position model. The record is from RNAcentral.
GCUACGACGAGUUGACGGUGGAUGCCUUGGCGCUAGGAGCCGAUGAAGGACGUGGCAGGCUGCGAUAAGCCCCGGUGAGCUGUCAAGCGAGCGUCGACCCGGGGAUGUCCGAAUCGGGAAACCGGACUGGGGUCAUGCCCAGUCACUCCGGCCUGAACACAUAGGGCCGGGAGAGGGAACCGGGGGAAUUGAAACAUCUCAGUACCCCGAGGAACAGAAAGCAACAGCGAUUCCCUGAGUAGCGGCGAGCGAAACGGGAACAGCCUAAACCAAUGUGGUGUGAGAGCCCGACGGCGUUGCCACAUUGGGGUCGAGGGACCCGCCAGACGGUGCGUCGGAGCCGUCAGGGAGUAAGAAAUCCACGUGAUAGGCGAAUCCCGCUGGAAAGCGGAGCCACAGGAGGUAACAGCCCCGUAGCCGAAAUCACGAUGGACUCCCGGUGGCGUUCCCAAGUAGCACGGGGCCCGUGAAAUCCCGUGUGAAUCUGCGAGGACCACCUCGUAAGGCUAAAUACUCCCUAGCGACCGAUAGCGGACUAGUACCGUGAGGGAAAGGUGAAAAGUACCCCGGUGAGGGGAGUGAAAGAGUACCUGAAACCGUCAACUUACAAGCAGUCGGAGGGAUCCUUCGGGAUCCUGACGGCCUGCCUUUUGAAGAAUGAGCCGACGAGUCAUCGGUAUGUGGCAAGGUUAAGCCGAGAGGUGGAGCCGCAGCGAAAGCGAGUCUGAACAGGGCGUCAAGUCGCAUGCCAUGGACCCGAAGCCGAGUGAUCUAUCCAUGGGCAGGGUGAAGCGAGGGUAAGACCUCGUGGAGGCCCGAACCCACCUAGGUUGAAAACUGGGGGGAUGACCUGUGGAUAGGGGUGAAAGGCCAAGCAAACUCGGCGAUAGCUGGUUCUCCCCGAAAUAGCUUUAGGGCUAGCGUCGUGCGUUCCGCGUUGGGGGUAGAGCACUGAUUGGGCUAGGGGGCCAACAAGCUUACCGACCCCAGUCAAACUCCGAAUCUCAACGCGCCAAGCACGGCAGUCAGACCAUGGGGGAUAAGCUUCAUGGUCGAAAGGGAAACAGCCCAGACCGCCAGCUAAGGCCCCCAAGUCGGGACUCAGUGGAGAACGAAGUGGGGUCGCCCAAACAGCCAGGAGGUUGGCUUAGAAGCAGCCACCCUUUAAAGAGUGCGUAACAGCUCACUGGUCGAGUGAUCCCGCGCGGAUGAUGUAACGGGGCUAAGUUCCGCGCCGAAGCUGCGGGAUUCUGUCGCAACCCAGGCCUUCGUGGUCCAGGGGACAGGAUCGGUAGGGGAGCGUCGAACGGCCAACGAAGCCGCGGCGAAAGCCAGCGGUGGAGGCCGUUCGAGUGAGAAUGUCGGCAUGAGUAGCGAAUGAGGAGUGAGAAUCUCCUCCGCCGGAAGUCCAAGGGUUCCUGGGGAAGGCUCGUCCGCCCAGGGUUAGUCGGGACCUAAGGCGAGGCCGAGAGGCGUAGUCGAUGGACAACGGGUUGAUAUUCCCGUACCACUAUGCGCGCGUCCCGGCCGAACCCAGCUUGCUAAGGAAAGCCCUACGGGGCCUACCGACCCAGCUGGUAGUAGGCCAGCAAAGGAGUGACGCGGAAGGGUAAGCGGACCCGGGCGUUGGUUGACCCGGGGUAAGCGUGUAGGGCGGGGCCUAGGCAAAUCCGGGCCCCAUCAACAGCCUGAGGCGCGAUGCCGAGCCGCGAUAGGCGAAGCCGCUGAACGCCCAUGCCGCCGAGAAAAGCUUCUCGCGAGUGCGCAUGGUGCCCGUACCCCAAACCGACACAGGUGGACAGGUAGAGAAUACCAAGGCGAGCGAGAUAACUCUGGUUAAGGAAUUCGGCAAAAUGGCUCCGUAACUUCGGGAGAAGGAGCGCCCCGGUAGGGUUGAGGACUUCGCGUCCAACGCCCGAGGGGGCCGCAGAGACCAGGCCCAAGCGACUGUUUACUAAAAACACAGGAGCGUGCGAAGUCGCAAGACGAUGUAUACGCUCUGACGCCUGCCCGGUGCCGGAAGGUCAAGGGGAUGGGUCAGCCCUUCGGGGCGAAGCUCUGAACCUAAGCCCCGGUAAACGGCGGCGGUAACUAUAACCGUCCUAAGGUAGACGGCCCACGACGCCACGUGGGCCACUGCCCCUCCGCGCGGUGACGCGCGAGAGUGCAGUCAGCUAUAUGCUGGAAACUCCGAGUAUCCGUCGGUACUCGUUCAUGUCGUAGGUGCCACAUAGGGUGACCGGCAUGAGCAGUGACAAUCCGUGCGGUGCGGACAAUCAGCAGGAAAGGCCAGGGAUCGAGCAGUGGAUCGUCGGCUUCGUCGACGGUGAGGGUUGUUUCUCGAUAUCGGUGGUACGCAACGCGGGGCGCAGGCUCGGCUGGCAGGUCCAGCACGAGUUCGCGGUCACGCAGGCUGCGUCCUCACGAGGCGCGCUCGAGGUGCUGGGACGGUACUUCGAGUGCGGCCGGAUCAUCGAGAACGUCCGAAGGGACGACCACCGGGAACCGCGGUAGCGGUACUCGGUGAAGGCCCGGAGGGACCUUGCCGAACGGAUCAUUCCGUUCUUCGAGGCGAAUCCACUGGUGACCGCGAAACGGAACGACUUCCGGUCGUUCCGACGGGUGGUCGCGAUGAUGCGACGAGGCGAGCACCUCUCGAGAGAGGGACUGGUCGCGAUCGCACGCAUCACCGAGGCCACGAACCGCAAGACGCGGUCUCGGUUCCUGGAAUCCUCAGAGGCCAUACGCUGACCACCUCGGUUCGACGACCGAGAUGAAGAUAUGGUCCGAGCCUCAUGGCGACAUGGGGACCAACUCGAGCGAAAUUCCUUGUCGGGUAAGUUCCGACCUGCACGAAUGGCGCAACGACUUGGGCGCUGUCUCAACCAGAGACUCGGCGAAAUUGCAUUGUGAGUAAAGAUGCUCACUACUCGCGACAGGACGGAAAGACCCCGGGACCUUUACUGCAGCUUGGUAUUGGAGUCUGUUAUGUGAUGUGU